GAUCAUGGCUCAGGAUAAACGCUGGCGGCGUGCCUAAUACAUGCAAGUCGAACGCCGGACACCUAGCUUGCUAGGGAGAAGGAGUGGCGAACGGGUGAGUAAUACAUAAGCAAUCUGCCCACAAAGACUGGGAUAACCUCUGGAAACGGGGACUAAUACCGGAUAGGUAGGAGAGAGGCAUCUUUCUUCUAUUAAAGAUGAGAAGCACUAGUGGAUGAGCUUAUGGCGCAUUAG
Molecule: ribosomal RNA, 234 nt
Filed under: uncultured bacterium
Lineage: Bacteria
Description: partial 16S ribosomal RNA
Rfam family: Bacterial small subunit ribosomal RNA
Source: RNAcentral